UCUCCGUAGGUGAACCUGCGGAGGGAUCAUUACCGAGUGAGGGCCUCCGGGUCCGACCUCCAACCCCUUUGUUGUACCGACCCUGUUGCCUCGGGGGCGACCCGGCCUUCGGGUGUCGGGGCCCCCGGCGGACCACUCAACUCUGCAUCUUUGCGUCGGAGUAUCGAAAGCAAAUCAAUCAAAACUUUCAACAACGGAUCUCUUGGUUCUGGCAUCGAUGAAGAACGCAGC
Molecule: unclassified non-coding RNA, 231 nt
Filed under: uncultured fungus
Lineage: Eukaryota; Fungi
Description: sequence contains ITS1, 5.8S rRNA gene
Rfam family: 5.8S ribosomal RNA (bases 183-231)
Source: RNAcentral